Molecule: long non-coding RNA, 1100 nt
Organism: Bombyx mori (domestic silkworm)
Lineage: Eukaryota; Metazoa; Arthropoda; Insecta; Lepidoptera; Bombycidae
Exons: 2
Source: RefSeq, a predicted model, not a curated record
UUUAUCUUCGAUCAAUAAUACUACUAGAUUCGCGAUUAGCGCUUCAAAAACGGCCCGAAAAAUAAGACCACAAAUAAAUUUGUGGUCUUAUUUCAAAUUAGUAUGGUCCAAUCAUAGCCAACACUAAGACGUCAAAACGCUGCAAUGCGCGUUCAAAAACUGAGUAAAAAACCACCGUAACACCAAGGUUUUGGAAGGAAUAUCUUUUUUUGAUUUCCUAGUAGCCCCUUGUCGCUGUGCACAAUGGAUAUAUAUUGUCGCGAAAGAAAGAGAAGAAAUAUAGAACCCUUAUAAAAAUUCUAGAAUUGUUCAAUGGUGGUGGCAAAUCAAUGCAAAAAAGUAUUAAAAAAACUUUAUAUGUAUGUGUAAAUAUUUUAAGCGUAUAUGCUGAAAAGGAUUUGUUUUCUGGGGGAAACGAACACAGCCAUAAAAUAAGCCUAAAUUAAACUGAUUAUAGAAAAAAUCAUUGAUAUAAGAUCACAUUAUAUUUGUAAAAAAGAAACCGCUCAUAUAAAAAUGACUUCUAAGAGACAGCUUUAUAACAAACUGAAUCUGUUUAAAGGUAAUUAAACCUACAUUAUUGUUUUAAUUACUUCUGUAUAAAGAAUACGUGGAAAACAUGUUUCGUGUUUCCUUUCAUAUUUUUUUUACUUUAUUCAAUUUUAUUUUUUAUCACCUAUUUGUUGUAAUAGCGGCAAUGUCAAAUAUUAUCUACUACUUUUUCAAUCGGUCAAAAAUAGUUGCGACCAUACAAAACAAACCUAAAACAAAUAUGUAUAUUCUGCAACUCUAUGUCUUUCAAUACUUACUGUGUUCUGAGCAUUGAAAUGUAAUACCAAGAACUACAUCUAGUUCCACAAUACAAUAAGCACGAAAUUUUAAACAAAUAUUUUUAACCUUAUAAAUUAGGCUUUAAGUAUCAUUUUAGAAUAAAUAUUUUUGUACUGAUGACUUUUUAUGUUCAAGUGACAUUUUAAAUUUAUUCCAUAAUAUUCUUUUUCUGACGAAAGGACCUAAAUACAUAUAUUUUGCAAUGGUAAUUAAACUUUAUGUUUAAGUAUUAAGGUUUAUAAUAAACUGAAGUCGUUAACAUUAUUAAA